This 22844-nucleotide long non-coding RNA is filed under the name Triticum aestivum (bread wheat). RNAcentral's name for it is "long non-coding RNA (TAES_LNC009060)". The record is from RNAcentral. Lineage: Eukaryota; Viridiplantae; Streptophyta; Magnoliopsida; Poales; Poaceae.
AUGGUAACACAGCUGGACCUUCCCUGCAAAUUCCUGUGACAAUUCAUAUAUGUUGUUCAUGUUGUGUGUCUCCUGUCAAAGUUUCUUAUGCUACGAGAACAUGUAUGUUUUUCUGAUUCUUGUGGGAAUUUCGAGCCGUUUCUGUCGAAAUUUCAACGGUCCAAACAGGGCUGCAUAAUGCAAAUGCAGUAUCUACACUAACGUUGUACCUAUAUUGCUGUAUUUUCAUUUUUUUUUGAAACAAAACAUUCUUCCAUGUUUUAAUUUGUUUUUGAAAUAAAACGUUCUUCCAGAGGCCGUUGCCUAGGGGCAGUGGGGCUCUCUGUCUCUUUUUGUGUGGGUCCCACGUGCAGUGGCGGCAGGCGUUGAGUGGAACUCAUCGCCGUCCUCGUCCAAUCCAAACCGCAGCAGAGCUGAGCACGCUGUAGCCGAGAAACGCACACCACGGCACGAUGCCACACGCCGCGUUCCUCCGCCCGCUCAUCCCGCCGCCUCUCGUCCCCGCGAGGCCGCUCGCCGCGCGAUGCCGCCACCUUCGCGGCGUCCGCGGGAGUUGCGCCCCCGGCGAGGGCGCGGGCGAGGGCGCCCCCGGCGCGGAGUGGCUGAGCUCGGCGGUCGGGGAGAAGGUGGACGAGCUGCUGCGGCGCGAGGAGAACCGGGCGCUGCUGGACGGGGUCGAGGCCGCCGAGCGCCGCGUGGAGCUCGCCCGCGCCAAGCUCGCGGACAUCGAGCGCCAGGAGGCCGCCGCCCGCCUCGCCACCGAGGAGGUCCGCCGCCUCGAGAGGCGCCGGGACGAGGUACGCGACAUCAUAAGCCGCGGCUGCACGUAACCUGUUCGAUGCUUUGCCUGCUCGGCUCGACCAGUGGUGCUCUGGCGUUGCGUGGGUCACUCGUAGGAGGGCGACCAUACGUGAGCGGCCAGUGGGCAGUCAGUACGUAGCACGGACCGCCACCGUCACCCUCAGUGCGCCGCUGCUUAUUUCUGGCGCGAUUCUACGCUACUGUGGAUAUGGACAUAUGGUAGUACCGCUGCCUACCAUGUCUCUACCAUGUUUGGUGACCGCCGCUCUUGUGUUUGAACUAAUGUGGCGCCGACGAACUUGAAGGACGAUGAAUGGUGCUCUUUAAUUGGCCAAACAAUAGAAGCUCUCAGUAGGCGCAUGUGGUUCGUCAAGGCAAUGUGUGCCGUGCAGAGCGGUGGGACUGCGAUAGACGGACUAGAUGCAGGGAAUGUGAGAUUUCCUUGAGUUUUAUUUGCUCACAGACGAGAGAAGAACUUGUUGAGUCUAGAUAGUUUUAAGAAGCCUGAUGGGUGCCAUAUUGGCUUCUAUCAGUAGACUUUUCCACCCUUUUUGGUUCAAGGCUUCAGGACGCCCUGUUGUUUGUUUGGUAAACUGAGAUAAUGAGAUGCUUCCAUUUCUUCUUCCAACAUGAAGUACUAGUGGUGGCAUGUGCCAUGUUCAUGUGGUCCCGUGAUGAUGAAGCAGAAUGAUUUAUUGGUUGUGAUAUCAACUUUAUAUGAUCAUACAGUUCUGUAAUCAUCAAAAUACCUUUCCUUCAAUAGUCAUAGGAAGACAUCAGUUUUUUCUUGCUUGAUGCAUUUCUUCAUAACAUACUAUAUGUUUAUAAUGCUGCGUUACUUAAACAAGAUUGCAGAGUCACAGCGGGAAUUGCUACAGGCAAGAGAAAUGAUUGAUGAAGCACAGUGUACCUUGACUUCUAGCCUUGAGGAUCGAAGCUUUUGGAAUACGUCAGGUGGAGAAGAUAUCGAUAAAGAUAGUGAGAGGCUUGAAUCUGCAAAAGCUGCAGCAAUUUCCUCUAUAAUCGGUGUUCUGGCUAGUUUGCCCAUAUCUUCCUAUGAAGUCCACAGUUUGCCCCAACUGUUUUUUCGAUCAUCGGUUGUUCUCAUAAGUUGUGCAUUGUUUGGAGUCACAUUCCGGUAUGCCGUUAGAAGAGAUCUGGAUAAUAUCCAGCUUAAAACAGGAGCUGCUGCCGCAUUCGCUGUUGUUAGAGGUAAAACUAGAUGAUGCCAUUGCUAAAAACUUCUCGGCAAAUAUUCCUUUGCACGGUUAUUUUCUUCACUGAAACUGAAUUGCUUGCAGGUCUUGCUUUGUUGGAAUCUGGGAGGCCCUUUGAGUUGAGCACUGAUGCCUUAAUGUCACUUGCUCUUGAUGGUGCAGUUAGUGUUGUUGGGAGCAUUUUUAUAUUUCUGUCUUCUGCUAUUGCACUGGACUAUUGUUUUAAGAUGGGAUUUUUGAGCCCAUUCCCUGCAAGGAAACAAUAGGUUCUGUGAAUAAUCAGGAAUGUCAACACAUAUAUUGGCUACUGCAUUGUAAUAUGUAAUGUUGCUGAUUUCUUAGAUUCAUGAUGGCAAAUAUUUCCCUGUGCAACCACCGUUUCCUCAAGUUUAUCAAAUAAUGCUUUCUGUUUAUUAGCUGUAUCUUGUCUUGUUUCCUCAAAUCUUAUACUCCCUCUGUCCCAAAAUAAGUGUCUUUGAUUUAGUACAACUUUGUUGUGUAAUUGAAUUUUGCUUCCUUUGUAUGUGUUCGUCCUGUAUGAUUGACUGGCCCCGAAUGCAAUUAUUUGUUUCUGUUCCUCCCAUAUCAUUGAUCUUCGUCCCCAGUGGAAUAUUUGAUUUUCUCUUGAAUUAAAUGCUUUCGAUAUCUGUUUCACAGGUUUCGCACCAGCCUUUUGUGAAAUGUUGCACAACCUUGUAUCCGGUUCUCAGUUCAAAAAAGAAAAAGGAAAUCUGGCAUGUCCAUGUAUCAAUCUUCAUCUUUGCGCGGUGGGAAUUCCCUACUCCUUAUGAUCGUCCAAUGUUUUGAAAUACUAAUGAAGAAGCAACAUUGUGUGAUAGCUUUCUUAUUAAUGCUAUGUACAGUACUUGUCUACUACUGUUCUUCCAUCCAUUUCUUGAUUGCUGUUGAGCAACUAGCUGCUGAACUGUGCUGAAAUUUGAUACAGUGUUAUUCUGGUAUUUCAUAAAGCGCCAAGCUGGAUGGAGCCUGGGGACAUGUUAUUGCAUUACAAAUAUGGGUCCGCGUGAAGUUGCUACUGUAGAUAGAUGGAUGUAGAGCGGGCAUUUCUGCUCUUGUGAGAUUUGGCUACAUGUACCUGGGGCUCUCUUCAUCCAUCAAGAUUGUGGACGCAGCCUGUAACUGUUGAAAGUCGGAGCUUGCUGGCAUUGCAAAGAAGACAUGCAUGUCUCAGCUCCAUGCUGAAUGGUGGUGGUGGUGGGGGAUUGUGCAGGGAAAGCGUCUUAUGAACCGUCAUACGGACAAAGGUUGCCUCUCGUGUUCUCUUGUAUUAUUAUUUUGAUGAUAACCUGAUGAACGUGGUAUUAUCUUGCACGUAUGGUUAAUGUUGACCAGUUUUGGAGCAAACAGCCACACGUGGUCUGUCAUGAGAACAUCUUUGGAUGCAUUGUAUGUGGUAAGCUAAUUAGAGAGAGAGAACAAAUGUAAACCACCUAUAUGUUUGCCUCUUGCUAUUGUAUAUACAAUGAUUUUUUUCGAACCUGACCCUUGAAACUUCCUAACGUGUUUCAGCAGAAAAUUUUCCCAAUAGCUUGCACAUACUUUCUUCAUUUGCUUCAAUAUAAAGAAUGCAAGAUCAAACAUCUCAGUUCAUAGAACAUGAUUGCCUUGACAUGGCAUACAGCUUGAAAAAGGCACCAAAAACAUCAUCAACAUUUGAAUACUAAUUAGUCCCGAGGGAGGGAUGGGGGUAUUGGGGAGGGGCAUUCUUACUCUUGUACCAUCCAGGUUGAAUGCAAAAUUGAUAUAGAUCACUUGAGAAAUUGUAGCAAAGAAAAGAGAAUAAACAGUAUUGACAUCUAAAAAUGUGGAUAUUAGCAACCUGCAACCGUACUAUUACUUUUAAAAAUGCAAGCAAAAUACUGGGGACAUGUGACCGAACUUCUGCCCACAAGUUAUACGUAUCUGCCAGCCAUUAGCUGCCAAUGUAGUUCUACACUGGGACUGGUAGAACCAGGGGUCCUACCGGACCUGCUCCGGAGGUUGUAGGGAAAGGAUGGAGCGGGACGGGGCGAUGAUCGGGCGCGCCGGCGGCUGGGCGCCGUCGCGUCGGAGGGAGAAGGCGGCGGCGGCUAGGGUUAGAGGCGGCUAGGGUUCCGGCUCCUCUGGGAGCCGGGCAAUAGGGAUAAUAAUAUUCUUAUUGCUUAAUUUCAAAAAGUCUUACAGCCUAUAUUUAUAACUUAGAUAACUUGCAUAAGAAUUAACCUAAGAUAACUGGUGGGCCAAGCCCCUAACUACUGCCCGGUGGGCCUCCUCCGGUUAUAAGCUAAACCGGUCAUAACACUUCUCCCCGCCUGCACAAACAGCUCGUCCUCGAGCUGUAAGGUGGGGAAGCUGAAAGAUCGUCGAUGUCGCCUAGAGGGGGAGGGGGGGGGGGGUGAAUAGGCGCUUUAAAAUAAUUACGGUUGAGGCUUGAACAAAUGCGGAAUAAACCUAGCGGUUAAUUUGUCAAGCACAAAACCUAUAACAACUAGGCUCACCUAUGUGCACCAACAACUUAUGCUAAGCAAGAAAACCUACUUAGGUGAUAGCAAGAUAUAUGACAAGAAACAAUAUGGCUAUCACAAAGUAAAGUGCAUAAGUAAAGGGCUCGGGUAAGAGAUAACCGAGGCACGCGGAGACGACGAUGUAUCCCAAGUUCACACCCUUGCGGAUGCUAAUCUCCGUUUGGAGCGGUGUGGAGGCACAAUGCUCCCCAAGAAGCCACUAGGGCCACCGUAAUCUCCUCACGCCCUCGCACAAUGCAAGAUGCCGUGAUUCCACUAAGGGACCCUUGAGGGCGGUCACCGAACCCGUACAAAUGGCAACCCUUGGGGGCGGUCACGGAACCCGUACACUUUGGCAACCCUUGGGGGCGGUCACCGGAACCCGUCAAAUUGCUCAGGGCGAUCUCCCCAACCUAAUUGGAGACACCGACGCUUGCCCGGAGCUUUACACCACAAUGAUUGAGCUCCGAACACCACCAACCGUCUAGGGCGCCCAAGCACCCAAGAGGAACAAGCUCAAGGGUACCAAGCACCCAAGAGUAAUAAGCUUCUCAACUUGUAACUUCCACGUAUCACCGUGGAGAACUCAAACCGAUGCACCAAAUGCAAUGGCAAGGGCACACGGAGUGCCCAAGUCCUUCUCUCUCAAAUCCCACCGAAGCAACUAAUGCUAGGGAGGAAAAUGAGAGGAAGAACAAGAAGGAGAACACCAAGAACUCCAAGAUCUAGAUCCAAGGGGUUCCCCUCACAUAGAGGAGAAAGUGAUUGGUGGAAAUGUGGAUCUAGAUCUCCUCUCUCUUUUCCCUCAAAAACUAGCAAGAAUCCAUGGAGGGAUUGAGAGUUAGCAAGCUCGAAGAAGGUCAACAAUGGGGGAAGAACACGAGCUCCAAGGAUAAGGUUCAAUGGGGAAGAAGACCCCCUUUUAUAGGUGGGGGAAAAUCCAACCGUUAUGCUCACAGCCAGCACAGAGCGGUACUACCGCUAGGGCAGUAGUACCCCUUUGAAAAACAACAGCGAGGAGGCAAAAGGCCAGUAGAACCGCCGGAGCGGUACUACCGCUCGUCCCCACGGUACUACCGCUCGACCUCACGAUACUACCGCAAGUGGUAGCGGUACUACUGCUUGCGAGCGGUACAACAAAAAUUUACUUCCGUGCCUACUUCCGCUGAGCAAAACACGAGAUUUUGGUCCGGAGCGGUACUACCGCUCAGGAGCCGCGGUAGUACAGCUCUGGAGCGGUACUACCGCUCAGGAGCCACGGUAGUACCGCUCCCAAGAGCGGUACUAAAAAAUUACAUCCGCAGCAGCCCCUUUAAAGGACACCAAAACUGGCACAACUUCUGCAAACGGACUCCGAAUUCGACGAAACCAAGUUUGUUGGAAAGCUAGCGACAAGGGCUAACACAAUCUUGAUAGAAAUACCAAUAAGAAGCAAAUGAGAAAAGGCCCAAAAGAAAAUGGUGAGAACCCUUCCUCGGAUAAGACCGGUAAAACCUCCAACAUCGAAAACAUCAUAGAAGAUGCAUGCAAACUCCGUUUUCGAUGAACUCAAGCUUGUCAUCAAGAUGACCAUAAGCUCUAAGACUCACAAAGAGAACCAAGAAACAUGAUGCAAUGAUGCAAUGGUUUGAGCUCUCGACGAACGAUACGAUCAAGCUACUCACUUGAGAGCCCCCCUUGAUAGUACGACUAUCGAUCAUAUAACCCGGUCUCCCAACUACCACCAUGAGACCGGUAAAAUAGAAAACCUAUCAAGGGCAAACCUUUGCCUUGCACAUGGUCCACUUGAGCUAGAUGAUGACGAUCUUGACAACCUCAAGUUGGACCACCUUUCUUGAUUGCGUUGGCUCGAUGAAGACUAGAUGAUUACUCCCCCAUAGUCCACUAUGGGUGAGCCACUCUUCGGCACAUCUUCACAAGUCCAUUGUCACCACAAUGGAUGGCAAGCUUCAAGCACUUGAUCUCUUCGUGAUGCUCCACUUGAACUUGCACACGGCAACCUUGAUGACGAUCACCACUUGAUGUCAUCCUCUCCACGGGUUGAGUGAUAUCUUCCUCUUGACGCAAGCCCAUGAACACGUACCUAACCCCACACAGAACUCUCACAUAGACCAUGGGUUAGUACACAAAGCACAAUGGACAAUGAUUACCAUACCAUGGGAUCACUUGAUCCCUCUCGGUACAUCUUCUACGCUUUGUGAGUUGAUCAACUUGAUUCACUCUUGACUUAGUCUUGAUCAACCUAGAAUCUUUCCAACUCUCGGAUGAUGUCUUGAAGGUAAACAUGAAUGAUCACACAAUCUUCUUCUUCAAGACAUGCUUGCAAUAAGCUCAACUCUCACAUGACCAAUCUUUGGAUAAUUCCUUAAUAGCACCUUGGUCAACACAAACUCUCCUUGAAACCAACACAUGUACUCCAAGAAAAGCCUAUGGACAAAACCUUCAAAUAUAACUCAAGGCAACCAUUAGUCCAUAGAGAUUGUCGUCAAUUACCAAAACCAAACAUGGGGGCACCACAUGUUCUUUCAGUCUCCCCCAUUUUGGUAAUUGAUGACAAUCACUUUCAAGAGAGUUUAUAUAAAGAAUUAUGCAUCACCAUGCAAUGCAACAACCAAUGAUGCAUGAGUAAGAGAUGCAAAUGCUUAGGAACAAAACCAAAGCAAGAGGAGAGAAUUCUCUAAACUUCUCCACAAAACUCUCUGAAACUUCUCCUCCAUUGGCAUCGAUUGCGAAAAUGGGAGAAAAGCUUAGAAGGCCAAUAUAAAUUGUGUUCCUCCAUAAUUUGUGUAUUUCUCAACAAGAGAGUGGAAUGCAAUACACAAGUUUGACGGUAAAUACUAGGAGGAAAACAAACUAUAUUUAGGCCCAAAGUUUACAAAAGAAAGAUAUGCCACAAAGACAUAAGAAAGAGAGAAACAAGCAAACAAGCAAUCAAAAGAUACCAAUUGAAGCAAGCAAUCAACGGAUAUCAAUUGAGCCAACUAGACCAAUGAUCCUACGUGCCACAUGAAUGAAAUAAAUUAUGAUAUGAGCAAAGGAGUGUUCUAGAGAAACUAGAGAAGCUCCCCAUGAUUUGUGCACAAUUUAGUUUUGUAACUGUUGGAAAUAUGCCCUAGAGGCAAUAAUAAAUGGUUAUUAUUAUAUUUAUUUGUUCAUGAUAAUUGUCUAUUGUUCAUGCUAUAAUUGUGUUAUCCGGAAAUCGUAAUACAUGUGUGAAUACAUAGACCACAACGUGUCCCUAGUAAGCCUCUAGUUGACUAGCUCGUUGAUCAACAGAUAGUCAUGGUUUCCUGACUAUGGACAUUGGAUGUCAUUGAUAACGGGAUCACAUCAUUAGGAGAAUGAUGUGAUGGACAAGACCCAAUCCUAAGCAUAGCUCAAAGAUCGUGUAGUUCGUUUGCUAGAGCUUUUCCAAUGUCAAGUAUCUUUUCCUUAGACCAUGAGAUCGUGCAACUCCCGGAUACCGUAGGAGUGCUUUGGGUGUACCCAACGUCACAACGUAACUGGGUGACUAUAAAGGUACACUACGGGUAUCUCCGAAAGUGUCUGUUGAGUUGGCACGGAUCGAGACUGGGAUUUGUCACUCCGUAUGACGGAGAGGUAUCUCUGGGCCCACUCAGUAAUGCAUCAUCAUAAUGAGCUCAAUGUGACUAAGGAGUUAGCCACGGGAUCAUGCAUUACGGUACGAGUAAAGAGACUUGCCGGUAACGAGAUUGAACAAGGUAUUGGGAUACCGACGAUCGAAUCUCGGGCAAGUAACAUACCGUUUGACAAAGGGAAUUGUAUACGGGAUUGAUUGAAUCCUCGACAUCGUGGUUCAUCCGAUGAGAUCAUCGUGGAACAUGUGGGAGCCAACAUGGGUAUCCAGAUCCCACUGUUGGUUAUUGACUGGAGAGGCGUCUCGGUCAUGUCUGCAUGUCUCCCGAACCCGUAGGGUCUACACACUUAAGGUUUGGUGACGCUAGGGUUGUAGAGAUAUUAGUAUGCGGAAACCCGAAAGUUGUUCGGAGUCCCGGAUGAGAUCCCGGACGUCACGAGGAGUUCCAGAAUGGUCCGGAGGUGAAGAAUUAUAUAUGGGAAGUCCAGUUUCGGCCACCGGGAAAGUUUCGGGGGUUAUCGGUAUUGUACCGGGACCACCGGAAGGGUCCCGGGGGUCCACCGGGUGGGGCCACCUGUCCCGGAGGGCCCCAUGGGCUGAAGUGGGAAGGGAACCAGCUCUUAGUGGGCUGGGGCGCCCGCCUUUGGGCCUCCCCCUGCGCCUAGGGUUGGAAACCCUAGGGGUGGGGGGCGCCCCACUUGGCUUGGGGGGAAGCCACCCCCCUUUCCCCUUGGCCGCCGCCCCCCCAUGUAGAUUGGUUCCAGGGCCGGCGCCCCCCUCCAAGGGGCCUAUAAAUAGUGGGGGGGGGGGAGGGAGGGCAGCAAUACCACAGCCCCUGGCGCCUCCCUCUCCCCCUGCAACACCUCUCCCUCUCGCAGAAGCUUGGCGAAGCCCUGCCGAGAUCCCGCUACAUCCACCACCACGCCGUCGUGCUGCUGGAUCUCCAUCAACCUCUCCUUCCCCCUUGCUGGAUCAAGAAGGAGGAGACGUCGCUGCUCCGUACGUGUGUUGAACGCGGAGGUGCCGUCCGUUCGGCACUCGGUCAUCGGUGAUUUGGAUCACGACGAGUACGACUCCAUCAACCCCGUUCAUUGGAACGCUUCCGCUCGCGAUCUACAAGGGUAUGUAGAUGCACUCCUUUCCCCUCGUUGCUAGUAUAUUCCAUAGAUGGAUCUUGGUGAUGCGUAGGAAAUUUUAAAAUUUUGCUACGAUCCCCAACGGUGGCAUCAUGAGCCAGGCCUAUGCGUAGUUACUAUGCACGAGUAGAACACAAAGCAGUGGUGGGCGUAGAUGUUGCCAAUUCUUCUUGCCGCUACUAGUCUUAUCUUGUUUCGGCGGUAUUGUGGGAUGAAGCGGCCCGGACCGACCUUACACGUACGCUUAUGUGAGACAGAUUCCACCGACUGACAUGCACUAGUUGCAUAAGGUGGUUAGCGGGUGUCUGUCUCUCCCACUUUAGUCGGAACGGAUUCGAUGAAAAGGGUCCUUAUGAAGGGUAAAUAGAAAUUGGCAUAUCACGUUGUGGUUUUACGUAGGUAAGAAACGUUCUUGCUAGAAACCUAUACAAGCCACGUAAAAACUUGCAACAACAAUUAGAGGACGUCUAACUUGUUUUUGCAGCAUGUGCUAUGUGAUGUGAUAUGGCCAGAAGAUGUGAUGAAUGAUAUAUGUGAUGUAUGAGAUUGAUCAUAUUCUUGUAAUAGGAAUCACGACUUGCAUGUCGAUGAGUAUGACAACCGGCAGGAGCCAUAGGAGUUGUCUUUAUUUUUUGUAUGACCUGCGUGUCAUUGAAUAACGCCAUGUAAAUUACUUUACUUUGUUGCUAAACGCGUUAGCCAUAGAAGUAGACGUAAUCGUUGGCGUGACAACUUCAUGAAGACACAAUGAUGGAGAUCAUGGUGUCAUGCCGGUGACGAAGAUGAUCAUGGUGCCCCGAAGAUGGAGAUCAAAGGAGCAAAAUGAUAUUGGCCAUAUCAUGUCACUAUUUGAUUGCAUGUGAUGUUUAUCAUGUUUUGCAUCUUAUUUGCUUAGAACGACGGUAGUAAGUAAGAUGAUCCCUUAUAAUAAUUUCAAGAAAGUGUUCCCCCUAACUGUGCACCAUUGCGAAGGUUCGUUGUUUCAAAGCACCACGUGAUGAUCGGGUGUGAUAGAUUCUAACGUUCGCAUACAACUGGUGUUGACGAGCCUAGCAUGUACAGACAUGGCCUCGGAACACACGCAAUACACUUAGGUUGACUUGACGAGCCUAGCAUGUACAGACAUGGCCUCGGAACACGGAGGACCGAAAGGUCGAGCAUGAGUCGUAUAGAAGAUACGAUCAACAUGGAGAUGUUCACCGAUCUUGACUAGUCCGUCUCACGUGAUGAUCGGACACGGCCUAGUUAACUCGGAUCAUGUUUCACUUAGAUGGCUAGAGGGAUGUCUAUCUGAGUGGGAGUUCAUUGAAUAAUUUGAUUAUAUGAACUUAAUUAUCAUGAACUUAGUCUAAAAUCUUUACAAUAUGUCUUGUAGAUCAAAUGGCCCACGUUGUCCUCAACUUCAACGCGUUCCUAGAGAAAACCAAGCUGAAAGAUGAUGGCAGUAACUAUACGGACUGGGUCCGGAACCUGAGGAUCAUCCUCAUAGCUGCCAAGAAAGAUUAUGUCCUAGAAGCACCGCUAGGUGAAGCACCAAUCCCAGAGAACCAAGACGUUAUGAACGCUUGGCAAUCACGUGCUGAUGAUUACUCCCUCGUUCAGUGCGGCAUGCUUUACAGCUUAGAACCGGGGCUCCAAAAGCGUUUUGAGAAGCAUGGAGCAUAUGAGAUGUUCGAAGAGCUGAAAAUGGUUUUCCAAGCUCAUGCCCGGGUCGAGAGAUAUGAAGUCUCCGACAAGUUCUUCAGCUGUAAAAUGGAGGAAAAUAGUUCUGUUAGUGAGCACAUACUCAGAAUGUCUGGGUUGCACAACCGCUUGUCUCAGCUGGGAGUUAAUCUCCCGGAUGACGCGGUCAUUGACAGAAUCCUUCAGUCGCUCCCACCAAGCUACAAGAGCUUUGUGAUGAACUUCAAUAUGCAGGGGAUGGAAAAGACCAUUCCUGAGGUAUAUUCAAUGCUGAAAUCAGCGGAGGUGGAGAUCAAAAAGGAACAUCAAGUGUUGAUGGUGAAUAAAACCACUAAGUUCAAGAAAGGCAAGGGUAAGAAGAACUUCAAGAAGGACGACAAGGGAGUUGCCGCGCCCGGUAAGCCAGUUGCUGGGAAGAAGUCGAAGAAUGGACCCAAGCCUGAGACUGAGUGCUUUUAUUGCAAGGGAAGUGGUCACUAGAAGCGGAACUGCCCCAAAUACUUAGCGGACAAGAAGGCCGGCAACACCAAAGUUAUAUGUGAUAUACAUGUAAUUGAUGUGUACCUUACCAGUACUCGUAGUAGCUCCUGGGUAUUUGAUACCGGUGCGGUUGCUCAUAUUUGUAACUCAAAACAGGAACCGCGGAAUAAGCGGAGACUGGCGAAGGACGAGGUGACGAUGCGCGUCGGGAAUGGUUCCAAGGUCGAUGUGAUCGCCGUCGGCACGCUACCUCUGCAUUUACCUACGGGAUUAGUUUUAAACCUCAAUAAUUGUUAUUUAGUGCCAGCUUUGAGCAUGAACAUUGUAUCUGGAUCUCAUUUAAUUCGAGAUGGCUACUCAUUUAAAUCCGAGAAUAAUGGUUGUUCUAUUUAUAUGAGAGAUAUGUUUUAUGGUCAUGCCCCGCUGGUCAAUGGUUUAUUCUUGAUGAAUCUCGAACGUGAUGUUACACAUAUUCAUAGUGUGAAUACCAAAAGAUGUAAAGUUGAUAACGAUAGUCCCACAUACUUGUGGCACUGCCGCCUUGGUCACAUUGGUGUCAAGCGCAUGAAGAAGCUCCAUGCAGAUGGACUUUUGGAGUCUCUUGAUUACGAAUCUUUUGACACGUGCGAACCAUGCCUCAUGGGUAAGAUGACCAAGACUCCGUUCUCCGGAACAAUGGAGCGAGCAACCAACUUAUUGGAAAUCAUACAUACUGAUGUGUGCAGUCCAAUGAGUGUUGAGGCUCGCGGUGGCUAUCGUUAUGUUCUCACUCUCACUGAUGAUUUAAGUAGAUAUGGGUAUGUCUACCUAAUGAAACACAAGUCUGAAACCUUUGAAAAGUUCAAGGAAUUUCAGAGUGAGGUUGAGAAUCAACGUGACAGAAAAAUAAAGUUCUUACGAUCAGAUCGUGGUGGAGAAUAUUUAAGUCACGAAUUUGGUACGCACUUAAGGAAAUGUGGAAUCGUUUCACAACUCACGCCGCCUGGAACACCUCAGCGAAACGGUGUGUCCGAACGUCGUAAUCGCACUCUAUUGGAUAUGGUGCGAUCUAUGAUGUCUCUUACCGAUCUACCGCUCUCAUUUUGGGGCUAUGCUUUAGAGACUGCCGCAUUCACUUUAAAUAGGGCUCCGUCGAAAUCCGUUGAGACGACACCGUAUGAAUUAUGGUUUGGGAAGAAACCUAAGCUGUCGUUUCUAAAAGUUUGGGGAUGCGAUGCUUAUGUCAAGAAACUUCAACCUGAAAAGCUCGAACCCAAGUCGGAAAAAUGCGUCUUCAUAGGAUACCCCAAGGAAACUAUUGGGUAUACCUUCUACCUCAGAUCUGAAGGCAAGAUCUUUGUUGCCAAGAACGGGUCCUUUCUGGAGAAAGAGUUUCUCUCGAAAGAAUUGAGUGGGAGGAAAGUGGAACUUGAUGAGGUGAUAGUCACCCCUUCCGAACCGGAGAGUAGCGUAGCGCGGGAAGAUGUUCUUGUGGUGCCUACACCGACUGGGAAGGAAGUUAAUGAUGAUGAUCAUGAAGCUUCGGAUCAAGUUACUGCUGAACUUCGUAGGUCCACAAGGACACGUUCCGCACCAGAGUGGUACGGCAACCCUGUCCUGGAAAUCAUGUUGUUAGACAACGGUGAACCUUCGAACUAUGAAGAAGUGAUGGCGGGCCCGGAUUCCUACAAAUGGCUAGAAGCCAUGAAAUCCGAGAUAGGAUCCAUGUAUGAAAACGAAGUAUGGACUUUGACUGACUUGCCCGAUGAUCGGCGAGCCAUAGAAAAUAAAUGGAUCUUUAAGAAGAAGACAGACGCGGAUGGUAACGUGACCAUCUAUAAGGCUCGACUUGUCGCUAAGGGUUAUCGACAAGUUCAAGGGGUUGACUACGAUGAGACUUUCUCACCCGUAGCGAAGCUGAAGUCCGUCCGAAUCAUGUUAGCAAUUGCCGCAUACUAUGAUUAUGAGAUAUGGCAGAUGGACGUCAAAACGGCAUUCCUUAACGACUUCCUUAAGGAAGAAUUGUAUAUGAUGCAGCCGGAAGGUUUUGUCGAUCCUAAGAAUGCUGACAAAGUAUGCAAGCUCCAGGGCUCAAUCUAUGGGCUGGUGCAAGCAUCUCGGAGUUGGAACAUUCGUUUUGAUGAGAUGAUCAAAGCGUUUGGGUUUACACAGACUUAUGGAGAAGCCUGUGUUUACAAGAAAGUGAGUGGGAGCUCUGUAGCAUUUCUCUUAUUAUAUGUGGAUGACAUACUAUUGAUGGGAAAUGAUAUAGAAUUCUUGGAAAGUAUAAAGGCCUACUUGAAUAAGUGUUUUUCAAUGAAGGACCUUGGAGAAGCUGCUUAUAUAUUAGGCAUCAAGAUCUAUAGAGAUAGAUCAAGACGCCUCAUUGGUCUUUCACAGAGUACGUACCUUGACAAGAUAUUGAAGAAGUUCAAUAUGGAUCAGUCCAAGAAGGGGUUCUUGCCUGUAUUGCAAGGUGUGCAAUUGAGCACGGCUCAAUGCCCGACCACGGCAGAAGAUAGAGAAAAGAUGAGUGUCAUCCCCUAUGCCUCGGCCAUAGGGUCUAUUAUGUAUGCCAUGUUGUGUACCAGACCUGAUGUAAACCUUGCCGUAAGUUUGGUAGGAAGGUACCAAAGUAAUCCCGGCAUGGAACACUGGACAACGGUCAAGAAUAUCCUGAAGUACCUGAAGAGGACUAAGGAUAUGUUUCUCGUUUAUGGAGGUGACGAAGAGCUCGUCGUAAAGGGUUACGUCGACGCUAGCUUCGACACAGAUCUGGAUGACUCGAAGUCGCAAACCGGAUACGUGUAUAUUUUGAAUGGAGGAGCAGUAAGCUGGUGCAGUUGCAAGCAAAGCGUCGUGGCGGGAUCUACAUGUGAAGCGGAGUACAUGGCAGCCUCAGAGGCAGCGCAAGAAGCAAUCUGGAUGAAGGAGUUCAUUACCGACUUACGGGUGAUUCCCAAUGCGUCAGGCCCGAUGACCCUCUUCUGUGACAACACUGGAGCUAUUGCCCUUGCGAAGGAGCCUAGUGUUCAGAAUGGAGACAUAGAUAUUUGCAAAGUACAUACAGAUCUGAAUGUAGCAGAUCCGUUGACUAAACCUCUCCCUAGAGCAAAACAUGAUCAACACCAGAACGCUAUGGGUGUUCGAUUCAUCACAAUGUAACUGGAUUAUUGACUCUAGUGCAAGUGGGAGACUAUUGGAAAUAUGCCCUAGAGGCAAUAAUAAAUGGUUAUUAUUAUAUUUCUUUGUUCAUGAUAAUUGUCUAUUGUUCAUGCUAUAAUUGUGUUAUCCGGAAAUCGUAAUACAUGUGUGAAUACAUAGACCACAACGUGUCCCUAGUAAGCCUCUAGUUGACUAGCUCGUUGAUCAACAGAUAGUCAUGGUUUCCUGACUAUGGACAUUGGAUGUCAUUGAUAACGGGAUCACAUCAUUAGGAGAAUGAUGUGAUGGACAAGACCCAUUCCUAAGCAUAGCUCAAAGAUCGUGUAGUUCGUUUGCUAGAGCUUUUCCAAUGUCAAGUAUCUUUUCCUUAGACCAUGAGAUCGUGCAACUCCCGGAUACAGUAGGAGUGCUUUGGGUGUACCCAACGUCACAACGUAACUGGGUGACUAUAAAGGUACACUACGGGUAUCUCCGAAAGUGUCUGUUGAGUUGGCACGGAUCGAGACUGGGAUUUGUCACUCCGUAUGACGGAGAGGUAUCUCUGGGACCAGUCGGUAAUGCAUCAUCAUAAUGAGCUCAAUGUGACUAAGGAGUUAGCCACGGGAUCAUGCAUUACGGUACGAUUAAAGAGACUUGCCGGUAACGAGAUUGAACAAGGUAUUGGGAUACCGACGAUCGAAUCUCGGGCAAGUAACAUACCGUUUGACAAAGGGAAUUGUAUACGGGAUUGAUUGAAUCCUCGACAUCGUGGUUCAUCCGAUGAGAGCAUCGUGGAACAUGUGGGAGCCAACAUGGGUAUCCAGAUCCCGCUGUUGGUUAUUGACUGGAGAGGCGUCUCGGUCAUGUCUGCAUGUCUCCCGAACCCGUAGGGUCUACACACUUAAGGUUCGGUGACGCUACGGUUGUAGAGAUAUUAGUAUGCGGAAACCCGAAAGUUGUUCGGAGUCCCGGAUGAGAUCCCGGACGUCACGAGGAGUUCCGAAAUGGUCCGGAGGUGAAGAAUUAUAUAUGGGAAGUCCAGUUUCGGCCACCGGGAAAGUUUCGGGGGUUAUCGGUAUUGUACCGGGACCACCGGAAGGGUCCCGGGGGUCCACCGGGUGGGGCCACCUGUCCCGGAGGGCCCCAUGGGCUGAAAUGGGAAGGGAACCAGCCCUUAGUGGGCUGGGGCGCCCCCCUUUGGGCCUCCCCCUGCGCCUAGGGUUGGAAACCCUAGGGGUGGGGGGCGCCCCACUUGGCUUGGGGGGGAAGCCACCCCCCUUUCCCCUUGGCCGCCGCCCCCCCAUGUAGAUGGGUUCCAGGGCCGCCCCCCCCUCCAAGGGGCCUAUAAAUAGUGGGGGGGGGAGGGAGGGCAGCAAUACCACAGCCCCUGGUGCCUCCCUCUCCCCCUGCAACACCUCUCCCUCUCGCAGAAGCUUGGCGAAGCCCUGCCGAGAUCCUGCUACAUCCAUCACCACGCCGUCGUGCUGCUGGAUCUCCAUCAACCUCUCCUUCCCCCUUGCUGGAUCAAGAAGGAGGAGACGUCGCUGCUCCGUACGUGUGUUGAACGCUGAGGUGCCGUCCGUUCGGCACUCGGUCAUCGGUGAUUUGGAUCACGGCGAGUACGACUCCAUCAACCCUGUUCAUUGGAACGCUUCCGCUCGCAAUCUACAAGGGUAUGUAGAUGCACUCCUUUCCCCUCGUUACUAGUAUACUCCAUAGAUGGAUCUUGGUGAUGCGUAGGAAAUUUUAAAAUUCUGCUACGAUCCCCAAGAGUAACUGGAUACAACGAGCACAAAAUAGGAUCGUCACUCCCCCAAGAUCAAUAGAACCUCACGACAAGUGCAAGAGAGCAACCGAGUGUUCUAAAGACACUAGUGAAGCUCUCCAUGAUUUGUGCACUUCUUACAAUAUUUGCAUUAGGAUACCGAGUGCACAAAAUAGGAUCAUCACUCCCCGAAAAUCAAUAGAAACUCACAACAAUUGCAAGUGAGCAUAUAGGAAACAAAGCCUAGCACUUGCAACAAACAAAUGGUUGAGCAACAUAUAAAAGAGGCAACUUAAGAGUAGGCUCAACCAAAAUGAUGUGUGUGAGUCAUGGCAAAGCACUUGAGAAGACUAAUGUACGAAUGAGCAUUAAGCAUCAACAUAGUCUUGGAUAGUGGAGAUACAAGGUGCAUGACAUGUCCUCCCCACACACACCAAGCAAAAGGGUUCACAAGCACACUAAAAAUGCAAAAUGAAUAACCAACACUUGUGACAACCCAUGGUGAAGAUAGAAGAUGAAAGCCUCAUCAAGACGAGGGAUACCAAUUAAGAUGGCAAAAGCCUCGUAGAGAUAAGCAUGAGGAAAAUAAUCUUCACCACACAGGAGUGCAUCAAGAUGCAACGAGAUAAGACAUGCACUCAAGGCAAAAGCUUUCACGGAGCCACCAAAGAAAUAACAAGAAAGACAAGGUGGACGUGAAAGAAAGGAUAUCAUCUAGAGAUGUAAUUUCUCUCAAGUGUAUAAGGUUCUAGGUAGACGAGAUCAUGAUGAUAUAUAUCUACAAAGAAGGAUGUACAUCCGAAAUAGUUACAACACGAAGGAACAAGAUAUCCAAAAGGAAGUCAUAGAUAUACCAAUAAGAUAUUUGCUUGGAAGCAUAGCACAUGGCUAGAUAUGGUCUUAUUGUACAUAAAUGAAUUCCUACCACACAACCAUCAAAGACAUCACAACUAGCAACAAGAGAUCAUUGUUGGGAUGCUUUGAGAAAGGAAACAAGUAUCACAAGAGAGAAUGAAUAACAUGCCAUGAUACAACCUACACAAGGUUGAUGCAAGAAAUGUGUGCAUGAAGUAUAUGAAGAUACUUGUUACCGAGUUAACAUUGGAAGGAUGUAGUAGAUACCAAUUGAAGGUACAAAGUAGUUCAUUGAUCAUCCUAGCUUGACUCCAAAAAGCACAUGGUGACAACACCUUCCUUGUGAGUGAGCCGAGCAUCCAAUGCAUCUCCAAUUGUUCCUAGAACAACAACACAAACAAAAUGGUACCCAAACUCAUUGGGACCAAAGAGUUAGAAACACCAACAAUACAUAGGACAAACUCCACAUAAAUAUGUGCAUAUAGAUAUGGAAAUGAAAUUCAUGCACAUCUCAUCCAAUUUGAGACUUAGUGGAGUUUCCCCUAUAUAUUGGGUCAAAGAGAGAAAGCAUGCCACGGAAACUACAUGAAGUUAAUAUGCAUGCUCAAGACUUUCAAGAACCAAUACCAAAAUACAAGGAAAUACCAAGUGAAAAGAAUACCAAAUGGAGAAAUCAUCACUUGGAGAUAUCAUUAAAAGAUACAUCAAGGAAUGAGAUAUCCAUUGGAACCCACAAAAUGAUAUCAAACUCCCAAAAGAGAGGAUGGUUCCAAACAAACCAAGCUCUCUACAAAGUUUCAUGAUGGCACAAGUACCAAAAAGAAACGGCUUGCCGUCCACCAACACACACUUAAAAUGGAUCACAAGUUUAGUGUUUUAUAGAAAAUAGGAUAGCUCCCCCACGAGUUGUGCAUUAUAGAGAAUUUGCAUUUGAAUACAAAAUGCACAAGGUAGGAUCACCACGUUCACUAUAUCAAGGAAAACACUAGAUAAGAUCAAGAAAACAUCAAGAUCCUCAAGUGGCACGGAAGGCAAUGGGAGUUGACACAAACCUGGCAAGAGAUAAGGCAAAUAAAAAGCAAACGCCAACGUGAAGAUGAUCAAUAAUUUCUACCACACAUAAGUGAGUACCAAUUGUCAAAAGACAAGAAGUAUUUGGAAAUAAUUCCCGGUGGUAGAUAGCAAGGGUAUCCGACAUCAUCUUCACACCAAACACAAGCAAAUUGCAACUUGUAGAGCUAACAUGCCACGUAGGAACAAGAUAAUUUACAAUAUCAAUUCUAGGUGACAAUAUCUCAAAUGUACACAUUUUCUAGGCUAGUAAUAUACAUAGCAUAUUACUCCCCCAUAAUGUGAUACCAAUUAAAGAAAACUUAACAAGAGGCAAAAAGAGGAUCCAACAAGAGAUAAUUAAUGGACUAUUUAGAAUUUGAAUUUCUCAUGAGAAGACAUACCACAUAGUGACUAGAUAAGCUUGCAAUAUCAAUACUAGGUGGUAUUCCUCAUGUAAACACAUUUAUGGGACCGUGAGGUGCACAAAGAACAUCACUCCCCCAAAAUGGGAUGUUCCAUUAAUCUCUCACAAGAGCCAACUAACAUACAAACAAGAUGCGCAAAGGCUCAACGCACUACACACACGUACAUGAUGUGCAAACCAACACACACAUACUUGAUUACUCAAGAUAAGAAAAUUGGAGGCACAACAUAUACAACCACAUGCAAGGAACAAAACCAAAACAUGCAAAGGGGCAAGUAACUUUCAAUGUACAAUUUAAGUACAAAUUACCGGAAGGAGGCACAUUGGAUCUAGAAUAGAAACUUCAUAACCCAAUUGACUUGGCUUGAGACAAUAAGAAUGAUGAAGUCCCCUUAAAUCUUCAUAAUGUAGCCAAGUCUCCAAUGCCCUCCAACAACACCUAUUGAUCAAGUUUGAGCUAGUUGGUCCCCAACCAAGUUGGAUCCUAAGAGGUUAGUCACAAUAGGCUUGGCUACCCAAAUGGUUCUUUUCUUGAUGCCACUUUGAGCACCAACAAAUUUGGCAAACACAUUGCCAACCUUAUCCUUCCCAAGAGAAUAGAUAUCAUCAAUUAGAAUAGGGUUGGAUAAGGUACCAUUCGUGCAUGAAGAAGUGACGUGACCUUUUUCACGACAUAGGUAGCAACGUCUACUCUUCACUUUCUUCUCACUUGAUUUCUCAACUUGAGAAGCGUUAGAUUGAGUCUUCUUGGGAAGAGGCCUUUCUUCAACUUGAGGUUGAGCAUGAGAAUGCACUUGUAGCUGCUUCCCUUGUUGCUUGUCACUAAUGGCCUUCUUCUUCAAUGGGCAAGAUCUAACAUGGUGCCCUUCAAUUUUGCACUUGAAGCAAAUAAUCUUGGCCAAAUCCUUGACGUGUUCUUGGCCCUUCUUCUUGUUCAUCUUGGACUUCUUCUUGUUGUUGGAGUUGAAUCCAAGUCCACCUUUAUCAUUGGGGUAUUUUUGCACACUCAAGAUAUUGUUGAGUGUGGAUUUCCCUUCAUGACACUUUUCCAAGUCUUUCUUCAAAGAAGUGACUUGGGCCUUGAGCUCUUUGAUUUCCUCUACAUGGUUAGUCUCAACACAAGUACUAGAGAAAGUAUAAGCUUCAUCAUUGGAGCAACAAGGCAAGGAAAGCAAUUCAUCACAAGAUGUACCAAUGUUAUGCACAGACGAAUUACGAGGACUAGCACAAGGCAAUAUAGCAUUUUGACUAAAAGUAGUGCUAAUGUCCACAUGAGGCUCACUAGAUGUUACCUUAGCAAUCAUAGCCUCAUGAGCUAUUUUUAGCACAUUAUGGGAUACAAGAAGAUCAUCAUGAGAGCUAGAAAGCUUUUCAUGACUUCUUCCAAUUUUCCAUAAUUGCUAGAUAGCAACUCAAGUUGAGCCCUUAGCUCAACAUUCUCCUUUAAAAUGGAUGCUUCACAAGAAAUAGAGUUAGUAGCACAAGCAUCAUCAUUAACAACAAGAGGAGAAGGCAACUUGGCAAGCUCUUUUAAAUAAGAAGCUUCAAGUUGAGCAUGAGACUCGGUGAGUUUGAUGAGCUCACCCUUGACGACCCUUGAGCCAUUUUCGAGGUGCUCAAAAUCCUCAAGGAGUCUAGCAUUAGCAACUUCAAGCUUAGCAUUUUUAGUUUCAAAAACAUUGGCCACCUCAAGAGCUCUAUCAUGAGAUUCCUUCACUCUAGAUAACUCUAGAGCAAAAGUCUCCUCAAGAGAUUCCUUGGUGGUUUGUUCAAGUUCAAGAGCUUGAGAGAGGUCCGCAAUCUCAUUAGCGUAAUCACGCUCAUGACCUUCCAUUUUAUCAAUGGUGACCUCAUGCUCCUCAAGACGAGAUUCCAACUCAUCAAUAUAUUUCUUGCCCUCAAUAGCAAUAGACAUGAUUUCCAUGAAGUUGGAACGAGCAAUUUUAUUCUUAAGAAGGGCUUUAAAAAUUAUUUCCCCCUUAACUUUUAAGGAGGCAACAUCAUCAUUCUCUUCAUCAUAAUCGACAUCAUCAUCACUCUUGCCAUCAUCAAUAUUAUCACAAGAUAUAUUGGGAUUCAAAGUGGCAGAUACCUUUGAAGCCUUGGCCAUAAGGCAAAAAGCAAUCGAUGAUGAUGUAGGAUCCCUUGAAGCACCGUUCAAGACCACAUCUUGUUCCAUGAAGUGUUGGGUUUCCUCUACAUUGUUAGCACAACAACUCGAGGAAAUAGAUACAUUUUUAUCAUGGCAACAAGACAUAGCAAGCAUAUCAUCAUGAGAUUUGAGCAAGCAAUUUCUACAAGGUAUGCAAGAACUUUUAACACAAGCAUUUGAAACAUUUAGAGUGCUCGAAGUGUUAAAGUGCAAAGGUGAAGGAUUGCAAUAAUAAAGUGAUGAAGGAUCAUCAAAAAUAAGCUCACUAUAAUCAUUGCAAUGAACACCACUACUCACCAUAUCAUUACCUUGUGGCAAACCACAUGUAGGUGAAGUAGAAGAAGUUGAGAAUACUAUACGACCGGAGGUGGAAGGAGGACAAUCAUCUCCACAAAUCUCGGACACGCCAUAUUUGUCUUGAAGCUUUGUCCACAAAUCAUGAGCAUCCCGAAAUGGCAUGAGUUGAAAUAUAACUACAUUGCUCAAAGCAUCAAAAAGCACAUUAGAAGCUUGAGCAUUGAUAUAAGAGUUUUUCUCAUCCUCUAAAGAUAAUCUUUGUGGAUCCUUUGGAGGAGAAAAACCCAUAUCUACAAUUCGCUCCAAAUUUGGGUCCAUGACCCUAAAGAGAUUAAGCAUGCGAAUUACCCAAACAUCGAAAUUUGUGCCAUCGAAACUAAGAGUGUCAGAGAAUCCUAAACCCCUAGUCGACAUCCUUACUCUCUAGGCGGUUAAGCCCUAUAAAGAGAGACGAGGCUCUGAUACCAAUUGAAAGAUCGUCGAUGUCGCCUAGAGGGGGGGGUGAAUAGGCGCUUUAAAAUAAUUACGGUUGAGGCUUGAACAAAUGCGGAAUAAACCUAGCGGUUAAUUUGUCAAGCACAAAACCUACAACAACUAGGCUCACCUAUGUGCACCAACAACUUAUGCUAAGCAAGAAAACCUACUUAGGUGAUAGCAAGAUAUAUGACAAGAAACAAUAUGGCUAUCACAAAGUAAAGUGCAUAAGUAAAGGGCUCGGGUAAGAGAUAACCGAGGCACGCGGAGACGACGAUGUAUCCCGAAGUUCACACCCUUGCGGAUGCUAAUCUCCGUUUGGAGCGGUGUGGAGGCACAAUGCUCCCCAAGAAGCCACUAGGGCCAGCGUAAUCUCCUCACGCCCUCGCACAAUGCAAGAUGCCGUGAUUCCACUAAGGGACCCUUGAGGGCGGUCACCGAACCCGUACAAAUGGCAACCCUUGGGGGCGGUCACGGAACCCGUACACUUUGGCAACCCUUGGGGGCGGUCACCGGAACCCGUCAAAUUGCUCGGGGCAAUCUCCACAACCUAAUUGGAGACCCCGACGCUUGCCCGGAGCUUUACACCACAAUGAUUGAGCACCGAACACCACCAACCGUCUAGGGCGCCCAAGCACCCAAGAGGAACAAGCUCAAGGGUACCAAGCACCCAAGAGUAAUAAGCUUCUCAACUUGUAACUUCCACGUAUCACCGUGGAGAACUCAAACCGAUGCACCAAAUGCAAUGGCAAGGGCACACGGAGUGCCCAAGUCCUUCUCUCUCAAAUCCCACCGAAGCAACUAAUGCUAGGGAGGAAAAUGAGAGGAAGAACAAGAAGGAGAACACCAAGAACUCCAAGAUCUAGAUCCAAGGGGUUCCCCUCACAUAGAGGAGAAAGUGAUUGGUGGAAAUGUGGAUCUAGAUCUCCUCUCUCUUUUCCCUCAAAAACUAGCAAGAAUCCAUGGAGGGAUUGAGAGUUAGCAAGCUCGAAGAAGGUCAACAAUGGGGGAAGAACACGAGCUCCAAGGAUAAGGUUCAAUGGGGAAGAAGACCCCCUUUUAUAGGUGGGGAAAAAUCCAACCGUUAUGCUCACAGCCAGCACAGAGCGGUACUACCGCUAGGGCAGUAGUACCCCUUUGAAAAACAACAGCGAGGAGGCAAAAGGCCAGUAGAACCGCCGGAGCGGUACUACCGCUCGUCCCCAUGGUACUACCGCUCGACCUCACGGUACUACCGCAAGUGGUAGCGGUACUACUGCUUGCGAGCGGUACAAAAAAAAAA